GUUAGCUCAGCAACAAUUGUCGGGUAUAUUUUCUGAACACCACAUGUUUGUCUAUUUGUCUCUAUGAGUUUUCAUUUGUCUUUUCAUUGUUUUUUCACCUUUAAAUUGGAUACAGGCCUGGUCUUAUGCUUAGACUAAUUUCCCUUGUUACAUUAUAUUCUUCAUGUUUUAUCUAUUGUGUUAGCACUAAGAUAUUUUUCUUCGUAACUUUAGCUGUAAGGAUUCAUCAUUCAUCAUUAAGGUUUUGGGUGCGUUAACCACCCGAUGCUUAACUGAAAAUGGUUUCACUAGAUAAUCAGUUGAUAACGUUCGAAGACCCUUUUUAUUUUAUUUUUUUUUUCCGUAAUUAUUAGUUUUACUUUACGUGUUGGCUCCAAGCCAGACUAUAAGGAUUAAGUGACGGAUUGGCCCGUUAAACUAAGAGCAAAUGGAAUUGUUCACAUUGUCUUUUCUUUGUUCUUAGGCCUCUCUCCCUCUGUUACUUUU
Molecule: unclassified non-coding RNA, 486 nt
Filed under: Hevea brasiliensis (rubber tree)
Lineage: Eukaryota; Viridiplantae; Streptophyta; Magnoliopsida; Malpighiales; Euphorbiaceae
Source: RNAcentral